This is an RNA transcript of Malania oleifera, 5375 nucleotides long. It is a transcript of the gene named protein WHAT'S THIS FACTOR 1 homolog, chloroplastic-like, with no coding region annotated. The record is from RefSeq and is a predicted model, not a curated record. NCBI's taxonomy places the organism in Eukaryota, Viridiplantae, Streptophyta, Magnoliopsida, Santalales, Ximeniaceae. The transcript is spliced from 6 exons.
GUGAUGAGAGUUGGGAAUUGUUCUUUGGGGGUAAAAAAAAAAAAACCUCAAAAUCCACUCAAACCAGAUUAGGAAGAAAGAAAAGAAACCCUGAAGAGAGCUUCACAUUCGCGCUCGCCGUACAGAUUGAGAGAGGGAUGAGGCUUCGCCUUCAGUGCUGCACCAAACUCCAUACUCCAGUUCGCCUUCGCCUUGACGGUUUUGAGGUCUGAGACGUCACCAUUAACCACCAAAGAGAGCUUCACUCCGGCUGUUGGCAACUUCGCGUCUUCGUCGAUCUUGGUCUAAGGCACGGCAGGCCUCCAUCUACCACCACAGGACAUAUUUGGCAGACCGCAAGUACGCAGCCGCCGCACCAGUUAUUCCGCCAAAGAGGAAAAAACUCUAGGCGAGAGACUGCAGAGUGUCGCUGCAGAGAGACCACAGCUCCGAAGGGUUCGUCGAAGGGAAAAACUACGUAAAAAGGAGUCGUCGGAGGCAGAUCAGACUUUGGAAGGGAACGUCGACUCGUCGGAGAGAGACGAGAAAGCUUGGAGGAAUCGUUGGAAGCAGCCGUUGAGUCGUCGGAGAGAGAGGAGGUGCUAGAAUCGUCGGAGAGAGAGCAGAGGUUAUCGUCAAGCAGAAGACUCGCUGGAGGCUUCGUCAGGGAGCAGAACAGAGGAAGCUUCAUGCGAGAGAGGCAGAUGAGUUUUAUUGAUUAUUUGAAGCGUUCCUGAAGCACCUGGUCGAUUUGUGACACUCCUGGCUAUUUUUGCCCUUUGAAUGCUUAUUACCCACUAAGCUUGUGCUAGUUUACAUGUACAGUUUAGUAGAAGUUUGAUCAUUGCUGAUUAUAGUUUGAGUUUAUCAACUGUUAUUUGAAGUUUUGUUCCAAAGAUGGGAACCCAACUCACCAGGCAUGCAGUGUUAAAUACCAAGAUCAAGAGUUCUUAUCAGCUUUACUUGUUCCUUGUUGACAUUGACCAUUUUGCACAUCUUACUUCAAGAAUGGCAAUUAAUUGUUGUAGAGAACCUUGUCUGGGAUUGCAGAGUCGAUGGAUGACUACUAGUAAGCGAGUUCAAGACCGGAGCAAGAAGAAGAGGGUGCAUGAUCUUGAAAUUGCAACUGAGAAGUGGAAAAUUACCUCCAAGAUAUUGUUCCUUAUGGAGGUUCUGAAGGGGGAACCUGAGCAGAUAAUCCCUGUAAGGUCAUUGGAUCAGUGCAGGAGACAGAUUAAUCUUCCAAAACCUCAUAAGAUCUCUGAUUUCCUCAGGAAAUCGCCUAAGCUGUUUGAAUUGUAUAAGGAUCACAAAGGAGUCUUGUGGUGUGGGUUGACCAAGGAAGCUGAGGAUUUGGUACAAGAAGAAAAGAAGAUCCUUGAAGAGAAUUCUGAUAAAGCUGCUGAACACGUUACCAGGUUUUUAAUGAUGUCAAUUGAUAAACGACUACCAUUGGACAAGAUUGCCCAUUUCAGGAGAGAUUUUGCUCUCCCACUUGAUUUCAGAACCACUUGGGUGCAUGAGUACCCACAACAUUUUAGGGUUAUGAAGUCUGAGGAUGAUGUUGAGUAUUUGGAGCUUGUGUCUUGGAAUCCUGAUUGGGCUGUGACUGAGCUAGAGAAGAAGGUGGACAAGGUAAAUGCAUCUACUCCUACCCCAGGGUUGCUUUCGCUCCCUUUCCCCAUGAAGUACCCCCCUGAUUACAAGAAGGUGUAUAGAUACGGAGGAAAGAUUGAUCAUUUUCAGAAGCGGUCGUACUUGUCUCCAUAUGCUGAUGCAUCAGCCCUAGAAGCUGGCUCUCAAGAAUUUGAUAAGAGGGCAGUUGCUGUUAUGCACGAGUUGCUUAGCUUUACUAUUGAGAAAAGGCUCGUUACUGAUCACCUCACACACUUCCGACGGGAGCUUGUGAUGCCCCAAAAGCUUAUGAGACUUCUUCUGAAGCAUUUCGGUAUUUUCUAUGUCUCUGAGAGGGGUAGGAGGUUUAGUGUGUUCUUGACUGAAGCUUAUGAAGGUUCUGAGCUAAUUGAGAAAUGCCCAUCGGUCAUUUGGAAGGAAAAGGUCCAGAGUCUUACUGGCUAUAGAGGGCGAAAGAAGAAAAUUGAAACCUUUAAUGACUUUCCAGACACAGAGGAUACUGAUUUGUUUGACAGUGAUUCUGAGAAUGAAAAUAUUUGCAUGGAACUUGAGCAGGAAGAGACCAUGGGAGGUUUAGAGGACAGUUCACUUAAAAACAACACUGAGAUGGAUAUUGGAGAGAUUCACAAUGUGUACAGCGACAUUGAAACAUCUUGAGGUUGUUGUGAGAUCACUGUGAGAUAGCUGAUACAGUGAUAGCAAGCCAGAUUUGAUAGGCUGCUUCUUCCGGGAGCCUCAUAUCUGCUUUAUGAGUUUGAUUUGAGGGAGGGAUAUAUCUUCAGAAUUACUGCAAUUCUUUGAUUUAUUGAGCUUCAGGUUUGAUUUGAGUUUUUUGUUUGACCUUCAAUCAUUCUUCGGUUUUCUUGGUAUUGUGAUUGGAUGUCAGAGAUUUGCAUUCUCCUGGUAAGUUGGGUAGUUUGUUUGAAAAAUUGCAUGCCGAUAUUGAGUCUUUAAUCUCUUAUAUUGAAGCAUUAAUCAUUUGUUCUUUAUUUCUAUGAUCUUUGAACUACUUGCUGCAAAUCUUACUUGAGCAGUAUUUCAGUAUUUUAGAGUGUACCAACAUUUUCUGGAGUAUAUCACCAAAAUUGUUCCGCACCAGUAAGUUUCUUGCUCUAUAAAAAUUUUACUUGCAUCAAUUUGUCCACAAAUUAUUUGUUAUUUAUAUGUAAUAACGUUUCCAACAAUGUUUGUGGCUUUUAUACUUCUCUUCCGGCUGGAAAUAUUGUACAUUAGGGUCAUAGACUGGGUUAGCUUAUUUGUAAAUAAAAUUUUAUAUUUUUGAAUUGUAAUCCAUGUAAAAAAGAUCAUGUUUAUGCUGCGAAUUUCAUUGAUGGACCAGAAAAUGGAUUGUUUCCUUGACACAAUGAACAGAAUGUAGAUUUUGUUUGUUAGAGGGAAGUUUGGCUCAUAUGAUGUUCAGUGUUUGGCACUAUAAAAUUAUGCGUCAAUCAGGCUGUUAAUUAUGAGCAUUCUUAUGCACCUUUAUUUGAUGUAAUGCAAAUCAGUUGCAAUGGCAAAGGAUUGGUAUCAACCGUGUAAGGAGCCCUUCUUAAUAAUGGGUUUAUGCUAGAAAAUAAACAGGUUAGGUUGAAUGAUUGAACAAAGGGUUGGUAUCUGUCCAUCUUUUUUGGAUUUUGUGGAGAGAUUCUUUUUCAGCUUAUCUCUCUGGUGGCUUUUGGGUGUGCCUUGAUGCCCUUGUGUACUUGUGUUGGUUCCUGUAUGGGCCAUUUGAAUGGUUUAUUUUACCUAUAAACCAAAACAAAAAAAAUAAAAAUUAGUGGCUAAAGCAUGCAAUUCUUGGUGCAAGUACUGUAUUUGCUAACACAAGAUUUUGCACCAAAAGUGAGGGAGGAAUCUCAACAUCUAUGGGGAUUAUACUGGAAAAAUCAAGCAUAGAAAUGGUUUCCCACGUGCACUAACCCUGAAAUGGAUUUAUGUUCUAUUGAACUAGUGCUCUGAACAGUUCAUGUCAAAUAUCAAUUCUGUUCCCAUAUGUAAAUUACAUUCACUGCUUCUCUUUUUAUGUAAAUCAUGGUAUGUCUUUAAAAAUCUUACAUCAUUGCUAAAUCCUCUGAUACCAAUGGCGGAGCUCAAGUUUGGUUCUCUGCCACAAUAACACCAUUCAUAUGUAAAUUUAUAUAUCAUAUAAUUCUGACUAAAGAAAACUGUUUUAUUUGGCUCUUUCAAGAGCUACUAGGAGCAGGGGUGAAACAAGAAAUAGAAAUUGCGAAUGAAAAUGGUAGUUUAGUUUGAUGGGAUGGGUUAGAGGGGAAUUUUGUUGUUAAAAAUAGAAAGUAAUUACAAGGGCAUAUUUGGAUUUCAAAUGACCAUAACAAUUAGAGGGUAAUCACGUUAGAGUUUAAAUUCAGUUUUAUCAUAUUGGGUUUGUUUUAUAGGAGCAGUGACAAGCAAAGAUUUGAUUCUAUUCAGUUUGGUGCAUGCUUAUAGGUGAGACACACACUGCUUUUAUGAACUGUGGCUUAUAUUUGAUAUUGAACUUCAUGAAAAUAGCAAGGACUUGUUGCAUUUUUUAAGUGGUUCUCUUGUAAACCUCUGCAAAAGUAUAUUGACAUUGUUAUUAGACAACUUUCAAUGAUUGGUGCAGAAUUUGAAGUUGUUCAGAAGCUAACCUCAUGCAAGAGGAGCUGCUUUUUCUUUUCCUCGUGAUUUGGGAAUUUCUGGUUUUCAUCUAGCUGUACACCUCUUCUCUACUGCUUCACUUCUAUUAAACAAUAUCUUUCGACUUUCAAAGAAUUCAAUGAAUCUAGAUUCUGUCUUAAUCAUGCACCUGCAUUAUGCUUGAUGGGAAUUGAUCUAAAUGAUUUCUUGGUCUAAAUUGCUGUUUGUUUGCAUAUUCAGCUUCAACAAAUUUUUUAUUCAUAUUCAGAUGCUCGAGGAUGGGUGGGUUAGACUAAUUAGGUUAUCCCAAAAUGAUGGUAUGAUAUUUUUUCUCCCCCUUUGUCUUUUGCCUUUUGGAGGGGAUUGUGUUCUCCCCGGUAUAUGUUCUUACCCUUUGUGCACUAACUUUUGAUUUUUCAAUCUCUGCUUGGGGAAGUCAAAGGUUUCUCUUGUCAAAUUUUUAGCUAGAGUUGUAGACUAUCAGCGGUGAAAAUUCUUGCAAUGUUCAAAGUACAUUCUUCUUUUUCAAGUUGGAGAUUCUAUUAUGUUUAAUUAAUAAUUUAAUAUACAAUAUACAAUUUCCAGUGUUCUUUCCAUUAUUCUUGGAACUAAGGUUUGGGGAGAAGUUUUUGGGGAGGUUUCGUCUCAUUUGGCAGCAGUGGGGACUAGGCAAAUUUCAGCAAGGGAUUCACAGUAUAGGACUGUGGGCUUCAGCUGAGUAUUCACAAAGGGAACAACGUACCAUGCUUGCUCUGAAUUUAUGUUGCAUUGAAGGCUCAUUAAUUGUGUUAUUCUUCGGUUGGGUGUUUGGUUGAACUCCAUAUCAUAUUAUCCGUUUAUAGGCUACAAUUUAUGAAUUAAGUAGAUGAAGGUAGUGACUGACAAAGCUUCUCAAGACGAAACUACUUCAGAAGAUAUACUUUUGUGUAUGUGUGUUCAAGUUUUAUCAUUAUGUUUUAAAUUUCUGUUUUUGGAAGGAAUGUUAGUGGGUUAUCAGUGUAUUUUAUUAAGUUAGGUUUCAAUUAGAACUCUACACAUUUGGAAAUUGGAAUUUUGAAUUCCUUGACUGAUCAUGUAAUUGUUAUUUUGACAUGACAUUUUAUCCGUGAGGCAAGUGUCUUGAUUAUUUUCUCAUUUCAAAA